GACGAACGCUGGCGGCGUGCUUAACACAUGCAAGUCGAACGGUAAGGCCCUUCGGGGUACACGAGUGGCGAACGGGUGAGUAACACGUGGGUGAUCUGCCCUGCACUUCGGGAUAAGCCUGGGAAACUGGGUCUAAUACCGGAUAGGACCAUGGACUUCACGGUUUGUGGUGGAAAGCUUUUGCGGUGUGGGAUGGGCCCGCGGCCUAUCAGCUUGUUGGUGGGGUAAUGGCCUACCAAGGCGACGACGGGUAGCCGGCCCUGAGAGGGUGUCCGGCCACACUGGGACUGAGAUACGGCCCAGACUCCUACGGGAGGCAGCAGUGGGAAUAUUGCACAAUGGGCGCAAGCCUGAUGCAGCGACGCCGCGUGAGGGAUGACGGCCUC
This 386-nucleotide ribosomal RNA is filed under the name uncultured bacterium. RNAcentral describes it as "bacterial SSU rRNA". It matches the Rfam family "Bacterial small subunit ribosomal RNA", at positions 28 to 418 of the family's 1533-position model. The record is from RNAcentral.